UAGUCAUAUGCUUGUCUCAAAGAUUAAGCCAUGCAUGUCUAAGUAUAAACUACUUUAUACGGUGAAACUGCGAAUGGCUCAUUAAAACAGUUAUAGUUUAUUUGAUAGUCCUUACUACAUGGAUACCCGUAGUAAUUCUAGAGCUAAUACAUGCGCAAAGACCCGACUUCACGGAAGGGUUGUAUUUAUUAGAUACAAAACCAAUUCGCUUCGGCGACUUGUGGUGAAUCAUAAUAACUGAUCGAAUCGCAGAGCCUUCGGGCGGCGAUGAAUCAUU
Molecule: ribosomal RNA, 277 nt
Filed under: uncultured eukaryote
Lineage: Eukaryota
Description: partial 18S ribosomal RNA
Rfam family: Eukaryotic small subunit ribosomal RNA
Source: RNAcentral